Molecule: transfer RNA, 69 nt
Filed under: Streptomyces sp. S4.7
Lineage: Bacteria; Bacillati; Actinomycetota; Actinomycetes; Kitasatosporales; Streptomycetaceae
Description: tRNA-Glu
Source: RNAcentral
CGGUGCGCAGGCGACGGAUACUUCUUUCUCUCAAAAAGGGGACCCGGGUUCGAAUCCCGGCGGUCCGGC